AGAUUGAACGCUGGCGGCAGGCCUAACACAUGCAAGUCGAGCGGCAGCACGGGUACUUGUACCUGGUGGCGAGCGGCGGACGGGUGAGUAAUGCCUAGGAAUCUGCCUGAUAGUGGGGGAUAACGUUCGGAAACGGACGCUAAUACCGCAUACGUCCUACGGGAGAAAGUGGGGGAUCUUCGGACCUCACGCUAUCAGAUGAGCCUAGGUCGGAUUAGCUAGUUGGUAGGUAAAGGCCUACCAAGGCUACGAUCCGUAACUGGUCUGAGAGGAUGAUCAGUCACACUGGAACUGAGACACGGUCCAGACUCCUACGGGAGCAGCAGUGGGGAAUAUUGGACAAGUGGGACGAAAGCCUGAUCCAGCCAUCGCCGCGUGUG
Molecule: ribosomal RNA, 380 nt
Filed under: uncultured soil bacterium
Lineage: Bacteria
Description: bacterial SSU rRNA
Rfam family: Bacterial small subunit ribosomal RNA
Source: RNAcentral